AUAUAUAUAUAUAGAGCAAGGCUGCUGUGCUCUAAGGAGCACGGAGGCCUCCGUGCUCUUGAGCCGUUUUCGAUGAUAAAAUUUUCGAAUCGACGAUUGGCUCUGUUAGACUUGAACUAGCGCAUUUGAAGUUUCUAGAAAUGUGACACCCCAAUAGUCCCACAUCGAAUAGGAAUGGGGUUGUCAUUGGGUUUAUAAGAGACUUAGACACUAGUAAUAAUAACUGGGCUUAAGCAUUUUGGGCCGGUGGUUGGGCUCAACGAGUUAUUGUUGCUAGUGGGCUGGAUCGUUACAUUUGGUAUCAGAGCCGGUUCACCAGCUGGACAUGCGUGACGAGUCUCGGCUGAGCCAGGGUCUGGAUGACGGGCUAGCGAGACGAGUCUCACAUCGCCUGGUGAUCUUGGGCUGUGUGUGUGAUUGGACUGACGAGGACGUCAGGGCCUUAACGGGGAGAGUCUGUAACACCCCAAUAGUCCCACAUCGAAUAGGAAUGGGGUUGUCAUUGGGUUUAUAAGAGACUUAGACACUAGUAAUAAUAACUGGGCUUAAGCAUUUUGGGCCGGUGGUUGGGCUCAACGAGUUAUUGUUGCUAGUGGGCUGGAUCGUUACAAGAAAAUAAUUUUUGCGAUUUUUUUAUAUCAUUUACGUGGUGAUCGAAAGGAUUCAAAAUCCAUAAUUUUUAAUAGUUGAUAUCUGUCGUUUUCAAGUUUCACAGUGUAGAAGUAUUCAAAUCAGAUGAAAUUUUGAUACAAAAUUCUUUAUACUAUUUACAACAAGAUCAAUAUUUCUGAUCGAAAAUUUUAGUGUUAUAUCACCACUUUUUAUAUGAUUUUUAUUUUCAGCCGUUAAAAAUUAUUGAUUUUGAAUCUUUUCGAUUGCUAGGUAAAUGAUAUCAAAAAAUUACAAAAAUUAUUUUCUAGAAACUUCAAAUACGCUAGAUCAAGUCUAACGGAGUCGAUUGUGGAUUCAAAAAUUCCAUCAUCGAAAAUGGCUCAGGAGCACGGAGGCCUCCGUGCUCCUGAGAGCACAGCAGUCCUGCUCUCUCUCUCUCUCUCUCUCUCUCUCUCUAUAUAUAUAUAUAUAUAUAUAUGAUUUCGGCUACUAUACUAUUAUGAGUACGAUCACCCUCGUACUCAUAAGUUGUUUUCGAUGAUAGACUUUUCGAAUCGACGAUUCUUACCGUCAAACAUUAUCUAGAGCAUUUAAAUCUUCUAGAAAUCAAAUUUCAUAAUUUUUCAACAUCAUUUACCUUACGAUCAAAAGGUCACAAAAUUGACAAUAUUUUAACGGCCGGUAUGAGAUACUUGCUAGUUUUACAGUGUAAAAGAAUCGGAAUAUAUCGGUUGAAUUUUUAAUAGAAAAUUCUAUUCACUAUCUAGAUAAAAGAUCAAUAACUUCGAUCUUAAAUUGAAGGAUCCGAUCAUCCAUUUUUAGGACGUCGUUCGAUUUCGAUCGUUCAUUUUAUACCCGCUUGAUGGACUUUAUUAUGAUUUUAAAAAUUACGAAAUUUAUUUUUUAAAAGUUUCAAAUACUCUAGAUCAUAUUAAACGGAGUGGAUCGUCGAUUCGGAAGUCCCAUCAUCGAAAACAACUUAUGAGU
Molecule: long non-coding RNA, 1599 nt
Filed under: Ananas comosus (pineapple)
Lineage: Eukaryota; Viridiplantae; Streptophyta; Magnoliopsida; Poales; Bromeliaceae
Description: long non-coding RNA (ACOM_LNC035872)
Source: RNAcentral